This 466-nucleotide unclassified non-coding RNA is filed under the name Hevea brasiliensis (rubber tree). Lineage: Eukaryota; Viridiplantae; Streptophyta; Magnoliopsida; Malpighiales; Euphorbiaceae. The record is from RNAcentral.
GUUCUCUUGGGUUGCGUUUCUUGGAGUGCUUUUUCAGAAGGCUUCUUUUCAAACCAACUCGAGGUUCUACCAUUUCUCACGUGCAGAAUCCAUGCCGGCAUAUAUUACAAGUUCUUAAUGUCAUAGCUCAAAGAAUGGUCAAUUUAGUAACUCACUUGUCAACAACCCAACGUUCUUGUUCUCUUCCUACCUUCACCCUUCUCAAGAUCUCCAAUGUCUUUAUAGUUCUCCCCUCAAGCAAAACUGUUAGAUAUGCAGAAAUUAUCACUAGAUGUAAGGUAAAUGCUGUUUUACUUCAAUCCUGCUGGAAAAGACCUGCUGGCUUUACUUUAUUGGGUAGAAGUAUUUUUUGUAGGAUAAUUUGAUGUUUUUUUUUCUUUGCUAUAGAUUAUCGAACUAAAGUAGCUUUGUUUUCUUGUCCUGUAAAAGUUCAAGGGAGCUGGUAUUUAUUUAUCUGCUUUCGUAA